ACUUUCUAUAUUUAUAUUUUGAUUUUGUAGACAGUUAAUGUUUGACCUGUGUAGUGUCAAAUUUGCUAGUUAUUUUGAAUUAUGCAGUGGAUUGUCUUCAUUUCUUGAAUCAGUUAGUCUUUUGGCUUUUUGAUCACAGUUUAAACUUUACUUGAACAUAAUUUAACACCUGAUGGAUGCUUCGAAGUGACAAUCAUGAUGCCUAGAGGAUACACAGACAUUCAAAGCUCUCAGGGGAUUCAACUGUUGGGGAAAUGCAUUAAUAAAAGCCUGAAUAACUCUUCAGUUCUUUAGAAAGAUCACGGACAUUGUUACCCAAAAGUCCAGAGAACUUUGAGUAAAAUCAUCUCUUAUUUGAUGUUUUUCUUACUGGAUGCUCCGUGUGGAUAGCUGUUAACCUGAAGGUCAUUGUACAAAAGUCAGGAAGUAACACCGCUGGCAGCCCAGUGCAGCAUGGUGACAGGCCCACUUAUCACUGUUAAGUUUGGAGUGAAGGUCUCCUAUUAACUGCACACCCUCCUUAAUCACAGUUGUAUUCAAAUAUGUAAGAGAAAAAAUUACUCAUACCUCAGUCACACUGUAAAAUUUAAAAAAACAUAUCACAAAAUUAAGCUAGCUAGCCAAAUAGCAUUCUUGGAGAGCCUCACCCCCCUGCAGUCUAUUAAAGAGCUUAACAGAUGCAUGGAGGCUGAAGCAAAAAGGCAGCUUUAUGCGCAUGUUAUAUAUCGCAUGUUAUAUAUAUAUAACUCUUUAAAAAAAAAAAAAAAAAAAAAAAAUAUAAAAAAAAAAAACACCCAGCACGCCCCUGCAGGCGGUUUAUCCUUCAAGCUCGGGUCCUCUACCAGAGGCCUGGGAGCUUGAGGGUCCUGCGCAGUAUCUUAGCUGUUCCCAGGACUGCGCUCUUCUGGACAGAGAUCUCCGAUGUUGUUCCCGGGAUCUGCUGGAGCCACUCGCCUAGCUUGGGAGUCACCGCACCUAGUGCUCCGAUUACCACGGGGACCACCGUUACCUUCACCCUCCACAUCCUCUUGAGCUCUUCUCUGAGCCCUUGGUAUUUCUCCAGCUUCUCGUGUUCCUUCUUCCUGAUAUUGCUGUCAUUCGGAACCGCUACAUCGAUCACUACGGCCGUCUUCUUCUGUUUGUCUACCACCACUAUGUCCGGUUGGUUAGCCACCACCAUUUUGUCCGUCUGUAUCUGGAAGUCCCACAGGAUCUUAGCUCGGUCAUUCUCCACCACCCUUGGGGGCAUCUCCCAUUUUGACCUCGGGACUUCUAGGUUAUACUCGGC
Astatotilapia calliptera (eastern happy) is the source of this 1288-nucleotide long non-coding RNA. The record is from Ensembl. Lineage: Eukaryota; Metazoa; Chordata; Actinopteri; Cichliformes; Cichlidae.